AUGAACAUCGUCCUUCUCUCCCGUUGGCUUUGGCGUAUCGCGCAGGGUCAGGGUGGCCUCUGGCUGGACAUUAUCCGGAAUAAAUACCUGCAUGGUCAACCCCUUGCCUUCUGCCAGAAAUCAGGCGGCUCUCAGUUUUGGCAGUCUCUCAUCCAACUCCUAUCGGUGCUCCGCAUUGGUACCUCUAUCUCGGUGGGGUCCGGCCUCUCGACGCUUUUCUGGUUCGACCGUUGGGCCGGAGACUCGCCCUUCGCGGCCCGCUUCCCCACCCUCUUCUCUAUCUCUGUCGACCCUAUGAUUUCUGUUGAUAGGGCCCUUAGUGACUUAGGGCGCCUUGCUUUCCGCCGUCCUUUUGGGCCGGCGGAAUCCGCCGCCUGGCGUGAGUUACUUGACUGCGUUGCUCUUCACGAGCCGUUGGUGGAUGGCGACCAGGACCUUAUGCGCUGGCGGCUGGAGCCGUCUGGCCAGUUCUCCACCAAAUCGCUUUACUUGGCCAUUGCUCCCUCAUCCGCCCCCCUCCCCCUGUCGAUGGUGUGGUCCGUCCGCGUCCCACUGAAGAUCCGCAUCUUCAUGUGGCAGUGGAUCCGUGGA
This 591-nucleotide ribosomal RNA is filed under the name Triticum aestivum (bread wheat). Its description in RNAcentral is "partial small subunit ribosomal RNA". Lineage: Eukaryota; Viridiplantae; Streptophyta; Magnoliopsida; Poales; Poaceae. The record is from RNAcentral.